Pangasianodon hypophthalmus (striped catfish) is the source of this 4427-nucleotide long non-coding RNA. RefSeq lists it as uncharacterized. The record is from RefSeq and is a predicted model, not a curated record. NCBI's taxonomy places the organism in Eukaryota, Metazoa, Chordata, Actinopteri, Siluriformes, Pangasiidae. The transcript is spliced from 2 exons.
CUUUCGCCAUUACUCUCACAAAAGCAAUGUGCUUUAGAAACCUCAGAGAUAUUACACUACGAGGUCUUAAAUACAAACUCUUAUGUUCAUUGACUACGCACUAGAUUAAAAGGUUGUAGUAUUCAGUACAUGAGAGACAUAUACUUCCCUUUAACUCCAAAUUUAUAAACCACUCAAAUAUUAACUUGUAUAGACACUAACCAAAUCGAGAGCCUUUUUAGCGUGGUAGAGUAGAGCUUCAAAACUCACAAGCCCUUUCCUAGCCCCUUUAAUUUGCUUGUGAACCAGAACUACGUCACACAUAUUCAUGCAAAUCACUUGGAUUAUUUUCAAAACGCGAUAAGAAAAACAGCGCACAAGCUCGAGUCGCAUGCACGCCACACGUAGCUGCUCCACCCUAUUUCUAUCUAGCAUGUCUGUACAUGAUCUGAGGAUUGAAACGCCACUCCUCCACCAAGCACUCGCAUUCUCACGUCUUUAGAAAAAUAUCAUAUGAUUGUGGAGAACAGCUGGGACUUUUGACUGUCAACCGAUACACACGGAGUUACUCGAGAAUUUCACCUUGAAAUCUGGCCUCCAACCUGCACACAUGGAGGCAAACGUUAGCAUGCUGUCAGCACUGCAGUCUAUAUGAGGUGCCUUCGACCCAGAAGCUCAGAUCACUUUGCUUCCAUCUGGUAAUACAAAUGUUUAUUGUAAAGUCCUUCUAAUAACUAAAGCCAGGAGAAAGAGAGCAUGUUCAUUUUCAGUGCUUGUGGUAUGCUAAGCAUUAAAAGCUGAAGAAGAGCUCCAUUUUUAGAUGUCAUGUGUUGUCCCUGGACAAAAGACAGCCAAGGAUGCAUGGCGGCUUGCUGCGAUGACUUCUCAACACAGAGAAACGCGAGACCAUCCAUGCACAGCGCUCAUAACACGAGCUCAAGCGUCAGAAAAUAAACUGCCACCUAAAACUGCACAUUUCACCAAGAACACCAGGCUCUGUCACCAACAGUCAGCGUCCUCUCUCCCCAGAGUCCUAAUCAGCACCACCUGUCUCCAGUCACCACACUCAUCGGGACUCCAUAUAAGCACACACCUCACACACACUCUUUGUCUGGCCUCGACAAGGAGUAGACCUCUUCUCUCUGAGUACCUGUGUUCAUUUGAAGCUCCUCUACAUCUCCCUACGUUUUCUCCAGCGUUUCUCUUCCAAGACACGUGAGGUGUGUGCUCUUUUCCCUCAGUCAUUUACCUAGUGUCUCUAUCUGUGUUACCCACCAGCCUGCAGUUAUCUUUGUGUUUACCCUGUCUUUGCAUAUCCAUUGUUUGUCAAAUCCUUUAAUAAAUUUGUGUUGGGUUCUCACCUUUGUCUCCGAGUCUGGUAUAUCCUGACAUUUUAUUUGACAUCAAUAUUUUCCAUCAAUGUUUUCAUAUACACACACACACACACUAUUCAAUAUUAAAUUAAAUAACGGUAUUUAAGUUAUUAUAGAUUUCUUAUCAGCUCAAACCAUUCUGGUCAUUCACCUCUGAUAUCUCUCAUCAACGAGGUGUUUCAGCCUGUAGAUCCUCCACUCACAGGAUGUUUUUUGUUUUUCAUACAGUUCUGUGUAAACUCUAGGGACUGUUGUGUGUGAAAUUCCCAGGAGAUCAGCAGUUUCUGAAAUAGUCAAACCAGCCCAUCUGGUACCAACAUCUACUGCCAUGGUUAAAAUCACUGAGAUCACACUUUUUCUUCAUUCUGAUGUUUGAUGUCAACAUUAACUGAAGCUCUUGCCCUCUAUCUGCAUGAUUUUUUAGCAUUUCGCUGCUGCCACAUGAUUGGCUGAUCAGAUAACUGCAUGAAUGUGCAGGUGUUCCUAAUAAAGUGGACAGUGAGUGUAUAUCAUGAUCUUUACAACACCUCAGAAACAUGUACUGUGACAUUUUUUUUUUUUACGAUAAAAAUAUCAUCUAGUCAUAUCACCCAGCCCUAAUCAGGAGACAAAAAGAAAAAUCUCAAACUGAAAUUAAAUCAUCAGUGGCUUUGCUGAAACUUAUUAUUGCUCACAACUUCUUUUCUAUCUACUCAAUUCUGUUUCUCCAUUUCAGGCAAAACACAGCAGAUGCAAAACACCAGUUUCUGUUUUGCAAUGUCUCUAGAUCAAAAACGCCAGCGUGGGCCCUAGGAUCAGCCCAAUAACCGCAGGUCUGUAUGUGCGCCAGUGGAAUACGAUUAGAGAGAUCUCCAACACGAGCAACUGAAAAAGUAAAGAUAAAGGGGGAAAAACAGAAGUAGAGACAGGGCUAUGCCCAGUGGCUGUAAAAACUCAUUUACUGCUGUUAUUCAUUUGAUGUCCUGCGCAUGCACACAAACGUAUUCACGAGCCUGAAGAGAAACUGGACAGAUCAUGCGGAGAAACUGAAGCAUGUGAGAGAACUUCACUUGUGCGAGCACUGAGCACUGAGAUGUGAGCGCUAUAAAACAUAACGAGUCAAAAAUAUUGUUUAUAAAGACGCUAACCUUUCACGUGCAAAUAAAGCAGGCACAUCAUUAAGCAAACAACUAAGUAAGAAGACACUAGAGGCCAUAGUGAGCGCGUGCUUCUGAGUGAAGAGGAAAAAGCAAAGUCCAUGUUUGAAUCCACACACACUGACCUUACACACCACUCAACCCCUGUUUCAUACGCUGCUAAACAUGACUCUACAGUCUCCAUGUCAUCACUCUACACUCAGGGUUGGGUCGACUACUUCAAUAAAGUAUCCAUGGCUGAAUACUCAGUACUCUCUCUUUACUCUCACAUAAUCGGUAACGUGUUCAGCUACACUACUCAAAAAGGGUAAUUUAUUCAGAUUACAUUAAGCGUGUGUAGUUUAAAGGCAUAGUUAGAAGAAUGAUGAUGUGUGUUAGACACUCUUUGCCUUACUGCAUGUCCAUUUUAAAAACUGCGUCUAACCUGUUAACCACAUCACUCCGUGUCAAGUUCAGCUGGCACUGACGUUUCAGAGUAAACAACUGACAGAUCACUCUGUUAGUGAAUGGCUCAAAGCAAAGCAGUGUGCACAAGUUAACCACUUCUGCACUACGUUUUAAUUGAUUUCGUUCUGUUGUAGGCUAACGGUAAUUGCACACGCCUACUCACAUGCACAACCACACACACACACCACCAUAUAAAAGGACUAGCCCACUACGAGAUGUGCUGUUAUAGAAAAACAAUCGCUCUGCGCUGGCUUGCAUCACACCUCGCCAUUGAUUAUUUUCUUAUAACAGAACACACUUAGGCAGGUGUUAUAGUGCUACCAAAUAAAAAGUUUUUAAGUAGUUUUGUUUUGUUUAAUCAACUGCUGAAUGCAUGGUCUUGCUGCAAUUUCAGUCAACAAAACAGAAAUAAGUUAAACGAGAUAUGAUCAGUAAGCUAAAGCUGGCCACCUUAUUAUCACCAAGACGAAAGUUUUGUUCACCAAGUACUCAUUUUGUUUUCAAAGUAGCUAAAAUGUACGAGGCCCACACGCUCAGAGAUGCAUCAGGCACACUGCUAUAACACGCCCAAACAGCACACACCGCAGGUGGAAUGUAAUUGUAAAGAAUUUUAUGCUCUAUGCAAACUUUGAAAGAGCAAAUAAAAACAAACCACAAAAUGCUGAUAAACAUGUGAGCCAAAAAACAGUGAUGAAAACUUUUAAGUAAAUAAAUGAUGACUUAGCGAAGUCAGGUCUUUUCUAAACAUUAACGAGCAUCAUGCGCUGUUUAAGAGACAAAGAAACUACAACAUCAAAAAUCGCUGUGACCAAGAAAAGUAACAAAGGAGUUACAUUAGAUCAGUUACUUUACAUCAAAUAUUAAAAUCUAUCCAAUUUGCUACUGUCUUGAUGCUAUUUUCUUUCCGUACACAGGUUUUAAAAAAACAGCCGUGUGCUUUGAGUCUUUUGAUCCUGAUCACUUUUUUGUCAUCUUGAUGACAGGCUUAGAGAUGAAGUCAAAAAUAUCAGGCAAAUACGGGUAAAAACGCGAAUCCAAACUAAUGCUGCACUCGACAAAAACUUGUAACACAUAAUUUCGGACCAGGAAAAAAGAAAGAAAACGCCCUCUUUCAACUCGGAAACGAGAAACGGUCUCCUCAACCCUGAGCUCAUCAAGUGACAUCAAAUCAUCAUGGCUGCUCACAGCAUCAACAGUAAUCACAGUAGCUCUUCUUACCUUUAAAUAAGUUAUACUUUACAUCAAUACACAGAUAGCUGGCUAGCUUCUUGCUAAAAAGGACAAGGAGGAGGAUUAAUGUGGAGGCAUCCAUUGUUUUGUAGCUUGAAUGCAUGGAGGUCGAGAAUGACAUCAUUCCAAGCUCUGACUUCCCACUUCAAGGUAAGUCGAACGCAGCGUUAAACUCCAUUCGAGAUAUUUUUUCCCUGAGAAUUUGUACUUGCAGUAUUUGAUUUAACAAGGCCACCAUGGGGAAGAGAGAGAGAGAGAGAGA